This 253-nucleotide ribosomal RNA is filed under the name uncultured bacterium. Its description in RNAcentral is "partial 16S ribosomal RNA". It matches the Rfam family "Bacterial small subunit ribosomal RNA", at positions 524 to 776 of the family's 1533-position model. The record is from RNAcentral.
UACAGAGGUCCCAAGCGUUGUUCGGAUUCACUGGGCGUAAAGGGCGCGUAGGCGGUCGGGUAAGUCUGAUGUGAAAUCUCACAGCUUAACUGUGAAACUGCAUUGGAUACUAUCCGGCUCGAGGAAUGGAGGGGAGACUGGAAUACUUGGUGUAGCAGUGAAAUGCGUAGAUAUCAAGUGGAACACCAGUGGCGAAGGCGAGUCUCUAGACAUUUCCUGACGCUGAGGCACGAAAGCCAGGGGAGCAAACGGG